CCCUUAGAUGUUCUGGGCUGCACGCGCGCUACACUGAUGCAUCCAACAAGUUUUUUCCUUGUUCGAGAGGACUAGGUAAUCUUAUGAGAAUGCAUCGUGAUGGGGAUAGAUUAUUGCAAUUAUUAAUCUUCAACGAGGAAUUCCUAGUAAGCGCGAGUCAUCAGCUCGUGCUGAUUACGUCCCUGCCCUUUGUACACACCGCCCGUCGCUGCAACUGAUUGGGUGACCUGGUGAACAUCUUGGACUGGCCCACUCAAUUUCGAGAGGACUGGAAAAGGCCGUAAAUCAGGUACAUCUAGAAAUUGCAAAAGUCGUAACA
RNAcentral lists this ribosomal RNA (319 nucleotides) under uncultured eukaryote. RNAcentral's name for it is "partial 18S ribosomal RNA". It matches the Rfam family "Eukaryotic small subunit ribosomal RNA", at positions 1470 to 1796 of the family's 1831-position model. The record is from RNAcentral.